CUGUUCAGAUAGCCAUGCACGUCUAAGUACAAACUAAAUGAUGGUGAAACUGCAAAUGGCUCAUUACAACGGUUAUGAUGUACCCGGGAGUUCCGAUGGAUAUUUCCAGUAACACUAGAACUAAUACAUGUCCCUGCGUUUAUUAGUUUCGCACAGUCCGUCGCUGAGUCAUGGUAAACAGUUGAUCGACUCGUCGUCCCGGAACAGUUUCCGCCCCAUCAGCUUCGAUGGUUGGGUAUUGGCCUACCAUUGCAACAACGGGUAACGAGGAAUUAGGGUUUGAUUUCGGAGAGGGAGCCUGAGAAACGGCUACCACAUCUACGGAUGGCAGCAGGCGCGCAAAUUACCCAAUGCAGACACUGUGAGGUAGUGACGAGAAAUAAUAAAGCGGGACUUCUGUUUCGCUAUUAUAAUGAGGAAUAACCAAAGGUCAUUCCGAUUAGCAACUGAUGGGAAAGUCUGGUGCCAGCAGCCGCGGUAAUACCAGCGUCAGUAGCAUA
RNAcentral lists this ribosomal RNA (500 nucleotides) under uncultured Myrionecta. RNAcentral describes it as "SSU rRNA". It matches the Rfam family "Eukaryotic small subunit ribosomal RNA", at positions 35 to 601 of the family's 1831-position model. The record is from RNAcentral. Lineage: Eukaryota; Ciliophora; Litostomatea; Cyclotrichida; Mesodiniidae.